AGAACGAACGCUGGCGGCAGGCCUAACACAUGCAAGUCGAACGCCGUAGCAAUACGGAGUGGCAGACGGGUGAGUAACGCGUGGGAACAUACCCUUCGGUUCGGAAUAACUCAGGGAAACUUGAGCUAAUACCGGAUACGUCCGAGGUUUUAAUCGACCUUGGAGAAAGAUUUAUCGCCGGAGGAUUGGCCCGCGUCUGAUUAGCUUGUUGGUGAGGUAAUGGCUCACCAAGGCGACGAUCAGUAGCUGGUCUGAGAGGAUGAUCAGCCACAUUGGGACUGAGACACGGCCCAAACUCCUAUGGGAGGCAGCAGUGGGGAAUAGUUGGACAAUGGGCGAAAGCCUGAUCCAGCCAUGCCGCGUGAGUGAUGAAGGCCUUAGGGUUGUAAAGCUCUUUUACCCGGGAAGAUAAUGACGGUUACCGGGAGAAUAAGACCCCGGCUAACGUUCGUGCCAGCAGCCGC
This 464-nucleotide ribosomal RNA is filed under the name uncultured bacterium. Its description in RNAcentral is "SSU rRNA". It matches the Rfam family "Bacterial small subunit ribosomal RNA", at positions 26 to 518 of the family's 1533-position model. The record is from RNAcentral.